GACGAACGCUGGCGGCGUGCUUAACACAUGCAAGUCGAACGGAAAGGCCCGCAUCAUUUUUUUGGUGGGGGUGCUCGAGUGGCGAACGGGUGAGUAACACGUGGGUGAUCUGCCCUGUACUUCGGGAUAAGCUUGGGAAACUGGGUCUAAUACCGGAUAGGACCAUGGUUUAGUGUCUCAUGGUGGAAAGAUUAUUGUUUUGGUGCAGGAUGAGCUCGCGGCCUAUCAGCUUGUUGGUGGGGUAAUGGCCUACCAAGGCGUCGACGGGUAGCCGGCCUGAGAGGGUGGACGGCCACAUUGGGACUGAGAUACGGCCCAGACUCCUACGGGAGGCAGCAGUGGGGAAUAUUGCACAAUGGGCGCAAGCCUGAUGCAGCGACGCCGCGUGGGGGAUGACGGCCUUCGGGUUGUAAACUCCUUUCGUUAGGGACGAAGCCGCACCUUUUUUUGGGUGUGGUGACGGUACCUUUGUUAAGAAGCACCGGCU
RNAcentral lists this ribosomal RNA (487 nucleotides) under Corynebacterium matruchotii. Its description in RNAcentral is "bacterial SSU rRNA". It matches the Rfam family "Bacterial small subunit ribosomal RNA", at positions 28 to 498 of the family's 1533-position model. Lineage: Bacteria; Bacillati; Actinomycetota; Actinomycetes; Mycobacteriales; Corynebacteriaceae. The record is from RNAcentral.